GAUGAAGAACGUAGCGAAAUGCGAUAAGUAAUGCGAAUUGCAGAAUUUCCGUGAGUCAUCGAAUCUUUGAACGCACAUUGCGCCCUUUGGCAUUCCGAAGGGCAUGCCUGUUCGAGCGUCAUUUACCAACCCUCAAGCCCGGCUUGCGGUUGGGUCCCGCCGUGGGCGACCACGGCGGACCCGAAAGGUAAUGACGGUGCCCGUGGGGCCCUGGACGCAGCGAGCUUCUCGGCACGCGUCCCGGCGGUCCCCGGCGCCGUCUCCACCAAUCCACCACGCAGAUUGACCUCGGAUCAGGUAGGGAUACCCGCUGAACUUAAGCAUAUCAAUAAGCGGAGGA
This 340-nucleotide unclassified non-coding RNA is filed under the name soil metagenome. RNAcentral describes it as "partial contains 5.8S ribosomal RNA, internal transcribed spacer 2, and large subunit ribosomal RNA". The stretch from base 1 to 121 matches the Rfam family "5.8S ribosomal RNA", at positions 35 to 154 of the family's 154-position model. The record is from RNAcentral.